CCUACGGGUGGCAGCAGUGGGGAAUAUUGCGCAAUGGGCGAAAGCCUGACGCAGCGACGCCGCGUGAGGGAUGAAGGUCUUCGGAUCGUAAACCUCUGUCAGCAGGGAAGAACGGUCACUGUGCUAAUCAGCAGUGAAUUGACGGUACCUGCAAAGGAAGCACCGGCUAACUCCGUGCCAGCAGCUGCGGUAAUACGGAGGGUGCGAGCGUUAAUCGGAAUUACUGGGCGUAAAGCGCUCGUAGGCGGUAUGUCAAGUCAAGGGUGAAAUCCCCGCGCUCAACGUGGGAACUGCCUUUGAAACUGGCAGACUGGAGUGUGUGAGAGGGUGGUGGAAUUCCAGGUGUAGGAGUGAAAUCCGUAGAUAUCUGGAGGAACAUCAGUGGCGAAGGCGACUAUCUGGCACAUAACUGACGCUGAGGAGCGAAAGCGUGGGUAGCAAACAGGAUUAGAUACCCGAGUAGUC
RNAcentral lists this ribosomal RNA (465 nucleotides) under uncultured bacterium. Its description in RNAcentral is "partial 16S ribosomal RNA". It matches the Rfam family "Bacterial small subunit ribosomal RNA", at positions 338 to 795 of the family's 1533-position model. The record is from RNAcentral.